AGAGCGAACGCUGGCGGCAGGCUUAACACAUGCAAGUCGAACGGGCGUAGCAAUACGUCAGUGGCAGACGGGUGAGUAACGCGUGGGAACGUACCUUUUGGUUCGGAACAACACAGGGAAACUUGUGCUAAUACCGGAUAAGCCCUUACGGGGAAAGAUUUAUCGCCGAAAGAUCGGCCCGCGUCUGAUUAGCUUGUUGGUGAGGUAACGGCUCACCAAGGCGACGAUCAGUAGCUGGUCUGAGAGGAUGAUCAGCCACAUUGGGACUGAGACACGGCCCAAACUCCUACGGGAGGCAGCAGUGGGGAAUAUUGGACAAUGGGCGAAAGCCUGAUCCAGCCAUGCCGCGUGAGUGAUGAAGGCCCUAGGGUUGUAAAGCUCUUUGUGCGGGAAGAUAAUGACGGUACCGCAAGAAUAAGCCCGGCUAACUUCGUGCCAGCAGCCGC
Molecule: ribosomal RNA, 446 nt
Filed under: uncultured bacterium
Lineage: Bacteria
Description: SSU rRNA
Rfam family: Bacterial small subunit ribosomal RNA
Source: RNAcentral